Molossus molossus (Pallas's mastiff bat) is the source of this 106-nucleotide small nuclear RNA. The record is from RefSeq and is a predicted model, not a curated record. NCBI's taxonomy places the organism in Eukaryota, Metazoa, Chordata, Mammalia, Chiroptera, Molossidae.
GUGCUCGCUUUGGCAGCACAUAUUCUAAAAUUGGAACUAUACAGAGAAGAUUAGCAUGGCCCUGUGCUAGGAUGACACGCAAAUUCGUGAAGUGUUCCAUAUUCAA